This 319-nucleotide RNase P RNA is filed under the name Candidatus Parcubacteria bacterium. Its description in RNAcentral is "RNase P RNA component class A". It matches the Rfam family "Bacterial RNase P class A". Rfam says of the family: Ribonuclease P (RNase P) is a ubiquitous endoribonuclease, found in archaea, bacteria and eukarya as well as chloroplasts and mitochondria. Its best characterised activity is the generation of mature 5'-ends of tRNAs by cleaving the 5'-leader elements of precursor-tRNAs. Cellular RNase Ps are ribonucleoproteins. The record is from RNAcentral. Lineage: Bacteria; Candidatus Parcubacteria.
AGAGGAUGCCGAAUAGUUGCUGUUACUUGCUUCGGCGAGUAAUAGAGGAAAGUCCGAACAUUCAUUGUGAACCGUCGCACAUGUGCAGGUUCAUAAAAGGGUAGCAGGUAACGCCUGUCGUCCGUAAGGAUAGAGAUGAGAACAGAAACGACCCGGUUAAGUCCGGCUGAAACGGCAAAAUUCUUACCUGAAUGCAAGGCCGUGUCCCGCAAAGCUUUUUUAAAGCGAAGUGGGAAGUGCCGCUCGAGGCUACAAGCGAUUGUAGUCCCAGAUAAAUAACUAUUGAUUACAGAAUUCGGCUUAUAGGCAUCCACAACAA